CCCUUAGAUGUUCUGGGCCGCACGCGCGCUACACUGAUGCAUUCAACGAGUUUCUUCCUGGUCCGAGAGGAAUGGGUAACCUUUUGAAUGUGCAUCGUGAUUGGGAUAGAUGAUUGCAAUUUUUCAUCUUCAACGAGGAAUGCCUAGUAAACGCAAGUCAUCAGCUUGCAUUGAUUACGUCCCUGCCCUUUGUACACACCGCCCGUCGCUCCUACCGAUUGAAUGAUCCGAUGAAUAUCAUGGAUUGAGGAUGCAAGUAGGUUCGCCUAUCUUCAUCUUCGAGAAGUGAAGUAAAUCUUAUCAUUUAGAGGAAGGAGAAGUCGUAACA
RNAcentral lists this ribosomal RNA (328 nucleotides) under uncultured eukaryote. RNAcentral describes it as "partial 18S ribosomal RNA". It matches the Rfam family "Eukaryotic small subunit ribosomal RNA", at positions 1470 to 1796 of the family's 1831-position model. The record is from RNAcentral.